Molecule: ribosomal RNA, 251 nt
Filed under: uncultured archaeon
Lineage: Archaea
Description: partial 16S ribosomal RNA
Rfam family: Archaeal small subunit ribosomal RNA
Source: RNAcentral
CAGCCGUAAACUAUGCUCGCUAGGUGUCAGGCAUGGCGCGACCGUGUCUGGUGCCGCAGGGAAGCCGUGAAGCGAGCCACCUGGGAAGUACGGCCGCAAGGCUGAAACUUAAAGGAAUUGGCGGGGGAGCACAACAACGGGUGGAGCCUGCGGUCUAAUUGGACUCAACGCCGGACAACUCACCGGGGACGACAGCAAUAUGUAGGCCAGGCUGAAGACCUUGCCUGAAUCGCUGAGAGGAGGUGCAUGGC